Long non-coding RNA from Pristis pectinata (smalltooth sawfish), 2755 nucleotides. RefSeq lists it as uncharacterized. The record is from RefSeq and is a predicted model, not a curated record. The transcript has 7 exons. Lineage: Eukaryota; Metazoa; Chordata; Chondrichthyes; Rhinopristiformes; Pristidae.
UCAUCCGUUUAUAUCAGCAACACGAGAUAUUUUUAAUCAGAACAAGUUGUCAAUAAGAUUAGUAACUCCUUUAGAAGAGUUAGCAAAUGUUCACAAUUUUAAUAUUUACAACUUUAAAAAAAAUAUUGUUUUAGAAGAGUCCUGUACAAGUGCAAUUUGUAUAUCCUGUAACCGGCCCAUGCCUCUCAAGGGGUUGCCGAAGAAGUACUUUCUUGGAAAGUAGAGCAAAACUAGAACAGGUUCUGAACGCCUUCAGGACAAUGAGGAUAGUCAAUAGAAGUCAUCAAUGCUGCUCACAUUCCAGCUUUAAUUCUCCACCCACUCCCACCCUUCUGACUGUGGUCUCCUGUACUGUUCUCCUGUACUGAACAAGGCCCGACACAAGUCUGAGGAGCAGCACCUCAUUUUCCAGCUGGGCACAUUGCAGCCUUCCAGAUUCUAUUGAAGACUACAACUUCAGCAUAUCAUUGGCACCUCCUUACCAGUUUCCAUGAAAUGACAUUUAAGAAACCUAAUCAUACUGAGUGUUCAUUUGAAGGCCAAGUGAUUUGGCUUUGUUGGGCCCAACCAAUAACAUCUGUUGAGAGAAGCAAAGGACUGCAGAUGCUGGAAUCUAAAUGAAAAACACGAUGAUGCUGGAAGAACUCAGCAGGCCAGGCAGCAUCCGUGGAGAAAAGCAGGAAUGCAUCAGGCUGAUCUUCACCGGUUCAGCCAUGGCAGGGUACAAGAUGUCAGUCAACAUGAAAAUACUGAUCCACAUUCAAUCCUGGAAGAUCAAGAUCAGUUGCAGCUUCCCACAGUCUACUUUUCAAGAAGAAAUUUGAGCAUGGUGCAAAAGGGUUUGCCAAUUCACUAGGAGCCCUCCUAACCCAUGCUGAUUAAAAACAGUUCCAUUCUACUAUAUUUGUAACUGUUUAAGAACUCAACACUGUCGGUCCCCUUCGUCAUUUUGUAAUUGAAGGCAAGCUGUACAUAAUGUUCCAUUGUUGACUAAUGAAUUUAUCAUGCUCUUGUCUUGUUGGCAAAAUGUGAAUGUUAUUUUUGCAACCUUUCUUCCUUUGUCAGUUUUUUGUUAUCCAGUGGUAUGUAUAUAGGAGAGUUCAUGGUUCCUUGUUUGUUGUCAGUUUUUAACUGAGCAUUGUCUGUUUUUUAUUAAGCACCUAUUAUGAAUCUUGCAUUUGGUUCAAUAAUAAGCUCUGCACAAUUUAACAUUCAAACCUAUGCUGAUUUUAAGAAUCCAGUGUAGACACUCACUAGGCAACAUUGCUGCUCCCCUUUCCCUUAGUAAUUGCUGGAUUACAGACAACUGAACAGCUUUGUAUAUUUUGGAAAGAAGAAAGUGGGUCCAUAUUGAAAAUACGUAAGAUAUUUUUGAACAGUAACAUACUUGUUGAUUUUUGCAUCGAUGCUGAAUACAAAAAAAAUCCAGUUUUAUUCACGUGACAGGUAUUGUACUUUUUGUGAUCAAAGGCUUAACAUAGCAGGAACUACUGAUACAGAUAAUCCAUAACAUAUGUCAUGCAACAAUACAGCAAAUAUAAAAUUCCAGAGUACCAGACAUAGUCAUUCUUGAGAGAUAUUGUACUUGCUGUUCACCAUUUACACUCAUUUUCAUUCAUAUGAUUACAAUGACUAGAACCAAUAAUCUUUUUUUCUACCUCUAAUUCCAAUUAAACUUUCAAAUGUACAGUUCUGCAAUUUAUCCUGCCAGCAUUAAUAAUGGACCAAACUAUGUCCUAGCUCAUCUCACCUCCACCAAGUAUUCUCAUCUCUUAAUGACUUGCAGGUGUACCAUCUGUACUAAUUCAAGAGAUAUUAGUACUGAAUGCACUAGAUCAUCAUUUUUAGUGCCACCGUCAGGAAGUUAUGUCACAUUGGGAGGACACAAAUGGACUAGCUGAUCUCUACUUGUCUUUCAUUUUCUGGUUAGUAGUUUAUAUGUUCUCUUUCCCAUUUUUGUGAGAAUGGUAAGUUGUGGAAAGAGGGAAAAUCUGCCACACAGAGGGAUUUUAUUCACACAGACACAUGCAUGGACAUUGCGUUUCGGGCUUAUAAGUUGUCAGGCCAUAAAAUCCACACUAUGUUAAAGAGAGUCUUGUCCCCUCAUUAAAUAAGAAGGGUCAAUGUAUUAUCGCUAUAGGGCAGUGACCAAACCAGUAUUUAUGCUGAAUCUCCUUUUUUCCGAGGUUUAAGUUCACUUUUAUACUCUAUCCCAAUUAUAAAGCCCAGGAUCUCAGUUGCUUUUUUAAGUCCCAUCAUGGCUUGGUUCCUCUUUUCCUGUAUAUUAUAUUAUAUUGCCUCCUCAUUCCUUCUAUUAAAAUGCUUCACUUUGUACUUCUAUAUGUUAAAUAUCAUCUGCCACAUGAUGGCCCACUCUAUCAGCCUGUUCACCUUCUCCAGAAGUCUAUCACCAUCUUCAUCACUGUUUACUACAUAUCCAAUUUUUUGUAUCAUCAGCAAAUUUUGAAAUUAAGGCCCGGAACACCCAAACAUAAGUCAUUGGUCUAUCUCAAGAAAAGCAGUGGUUCUUAGGGAAUGCCAUCUUUUGGAGAGUGCCACGACUUAUCUUUCUCCACCUUUUGAUUGUGUAGGUUUCAAUUUUUCUGACAAGUUUAAGCAUCAACAAAAGCAGAAAUUGCUGGAAACACUCAGCAGGUCUGGCAACUACGUGAAGCAUUUUCUGUUUUUGUUGUGGAUUUCCAGCAUCUGCAGGUUUUUUUUUUGUUUUUCUCUUUGGCUGUCUUUUGAAAGUCCA